This 468-nucleotide ribosomal RNA is filed under the name uncultured bacterium. RNAcentral's name for it is "partial 16S ribosomal RNA". It matches the Rfam family "Bacterial small subunit ribosomal RNA", at positions 28 to 507 of the family's 1533-position model. The record is from RNAcentral.
GACGAAUGCUGGCGGCGUGCUUAACACAUGCAAGUCGAACGGAAAGGCCCUGCUUUUGUGGGGUGCUCGAGUGGCGAACGGGUGAGUAACACGUGAGUAACCUGCCCUUGACUUUGGGAUAACUUCAGGAAACUGGGGCUAAUACCGGAUAGGAGCUCCUGCUGCAUGGGGGGGGUUGGAAAGUUUCGGCGGUUGGGGAUGGACUCGCGGCUUAUCAGCUUGUUGGUGGGGUAGUGGCUUACCAAGGCUUUGACGGGUAGCCGGCCUGAGAGGGUGACCGGCCACAUUGGGACUGCGAUACGGCCCAGACUCCUACGGGAGGCAGCAGUGGGGAAUAUUGCACAAUGGGCGGAAGCCUGAUGCAGCAACGCCGCGUGCGGGAUGACGGCCUUCGGGUUGUAAACCGCUUUCGCCUGUGACGAAGCGUGAGUGACGGUAAUGGGUAAAGAAGCACCGGCUAACUACGUG